GCCAGACUCCUACGGGAGGCAGCAGUGGGGAAUAUUGCACAAUGGGGGGAACCCUGAUGCAGCGACGCCGCGUGGGUGAAGGAGCACCUCGGUGCGUAAAGCCCUAUCGGCAGGGAAGAAACAGACGGUACCUGACUAAGAAGCCCCGGCUAACUACGUGCCAGCAGCCGCGGGAAUACGUAGGUGGCAAGCGUUGUCCGGAAUUACUGGGUGUAAAGGGAGCGCAGGCGGGAAGCCAAGUCAGCUGUGAAAACUACGGGCUUAACUUGUAGACUGCAGUUGAAACUGGUUUUCUUGAGUGAAGGAGAGGUUGGCGGAAUUCCGAGUGUAGCGGUGAAAUGCGUAGAUAUUCGGAGGAACACCGGUGGCGAAGGCGGCCAACUGGGCUUUAACUGACGCUGAGGCUCGAAAGUGUGGGGAGCAAACAGGAUUAGAUACCCUAGUAG
RNAcentral lists this ribosomal RNA (446 nucleotides) under uncultured bacterium. RNAcentral's name for it is "bacterial SSU rRNA". It matches the Rfam family "Bacterial small subunit ribosomal RNA", at positions 330 to 793 of the family's 1533-position model. The record is from RNAcentral.